ACCAGUUUGGCUCAGUGGAUAGAGCGUUGGCCUGCAGACUCAAGGGUCCCAGGUUCAAUUCCGGUAAAGGGCA
Non-coding RNA from Myotis davidii, 73 nucleotides. NCBI's taxonomy places the organism in Eukaryota, Metazoa, Chordata, Mammalia, Chiroptera, Vespertilionidae. The record is from Rfam.